GGGGGUGGUUGAGUCCCGGUGGGCUCCCCGGUCUUCAAAAUCGGUGGCGGGUCGUAUUGCGAGCCGCGGUGGGUUCGACUCCCAUCCACUCCCGCCA
RNAcentral lists this transfer RNA (97 nucleotides) under Anaerolineales bacterium. RNAcentral describes it as "tRNA-Sec". It matches the Rfam family "Selenocysteine transfer RNA". The record is from RNAcentral. Lineage: Bacteria; Bacillati; Chloroflexota; Anaerolineae; Anaerolineales.